Molecule: ribosomal RNA, 616 nt
Filed under: uncultured organism
Description: SSU rRNA
Rfam family: Bacterial small subunit ribosomal RNA
Source: RNAcentral
GAUCAGUAGCCGACCUGAGAGGGUGACCGGCCACAUUGGGACUGAGACACGGCCCAAACUCCUACGGGAGGCAGCAGUGGGGAAUAUUGCACAAUGGGGGAAACCCUGAUGCAGCGACGCCGCGUGAGCGAAGAAGUAUUUCGGUAUGUAAAGCUCUAUCAGCAGGGAAGAAGAAAUGACGGUACCUGACUAAGAAGCACCGGCUAAAUACGUGCCAGCAGCCGCGGUAAUACGUAUGGUGCAAGCGUUAUCCGGAUUUACUGGGUGUAAAGGGAGCGCAGGCGGAAGGCUAAGUCUGAUGUGAAAGCCCGGGGCUCAACCCCGGUACUGCAUUGGAAACUGGUCAUCUAGAGUGUCGGAGGGGUAAGUGGAAUUCCUAGUGUAGCGGUGAAAUGCGUAGAUAUUAGGAGGAACACCAGUGGCGAAGGCGGCUUACUGGACGAUAACUGACGCUGAGGCUCGAAAGCGUGGGGAGCAAACAGGAUUAGAAACCCUGGUAGUCCACGCCGAAAACGAUGAAUACUAGGUGUCGGGAAGCACAGCUUUUCGGUGCCGCCGCAAACGCAUUAAGUAUUCCACCUGGGGAGUACGUUCGCAAGAAUGAAACUCAAAGGAU